RNAcentral lists this ribosomal RNA (467 nucleotides) under uncultured bacterium. Its description in RNAcentral is "partial 16S ribosomal RNA". It matches the Rfam family "Bacterial small subunit ribosomal RNA", at positions 28 to 507 of the family's 1533-position model. The record is from RNAcentral.
GAUGAACGCUGGCGGCGCGCCUAACACAUGCAAGUCGAACGAUUAAAGCACCUUCGGGUGUGUAUAAAGUGGCGAACGGCUGAGUAACACGUGGGCAACCUGCCCCUCUCAUUGGGAUAGCCACGGGAAACCGUGGAUAAUACCGAAUACUUCGGGACUCCCGCAUGGAAGACUCGAGAAAGCGACGGCGGAGAGGGAUGGGCCCGCGGCCUGUUAGCUUGUUGGUGGGGUAAUGGACUACCAAGGCAAUGAUGGGUAGCUAGGGUGAGAGGGCGACAAGCCAGAUUGGGACGGAGACGCGGCCCGGACUCCAACGGGAGGCAGCAGUGGGGUAGCGAGCACUAUGGGCGAAGGCAUGGUGCAGCGCCGCCGCGUGGGGUAUGAAGGCCUUCCGGUAGUAAAGCGCUUUCAGCAGGGACGGGGCGAAAGUGACGGUACCUGCAGAAGAAGCCCCGGCUAACUACGUG